AUACGGAGGAUCCGAGCGUUAUCCGGAUUUAUUGGGUUUAAAGGGUGCGCAGGCGGCCAUUUAAGUCAGCGGUUAAAUCGUGGGGCUCAACCCCAUUCUGCCGUUGAUACUGGGUGGCUUGAUUGCGGUCGAGGUUGACGGAAUUCGUUGUGUAGCGGUGAAAUGCAUAGAUAUGACGAAGAACACCGAUUGCGUAGGCAGCUGACCAGACCGCAAAUGACGCUCAUGCACGAAAGUGCGGGGAUCGAACAGGAUUAGAUACCCUGGUAGUCCGCACAGUAAACGAUGAAUACUUGUUUUCGGCGAUAUAAUGUCGGAGGCAAAGCGAAAGCGAUAAGUAUUCCACCUGGGGAGUACGCCGGCAACGGUGAAACUCAAAUGAAUUGACGGGG
This 392-nucleotide ribosomal RNA is filed under the name uncultured bacterium. Its description in RNAcentral is "partial 16S ribosomal RNA". It matches the Rfam family "Bacterial small subunit ribosomal RNA", at positions 523 to 918 of the family's 1533-position model. The record is from RNAcentral.